Molecule: ribosomal RNA, 253 nt
Filed under: uncultured bacterium
Lineage: Bacteria
Description: partial 16S ribosomal RNA
Rfam family: Bacterial small subunit ribosomal RNA
Source: RNAcentral
UACGGAAUGUGCAAACGUUAUUCGGAAUCACUGGGCUUAAAGAGUCCGUAGGCGGCAUGUUAGGUGAGGUGUGAAAUCCCCCGGCUCAACCGAGGAAUUGCGCUUCAAACCGGCGUGCUUGAGGAAGAUAGAGGUGGGCGGAACUGAUGGUGUAGCGGUGAAAUGCGCAGAUAUCAGGAAGAACACCAAUGGCGAAAGCAGCUUUCUGGGACGGUACUGACGCUGAGGAACGAAAGCCAGGGGAGCAAACGGG